RNAcentral lists this ribosomal RNA (517 nucleotides) under uncultured bacterium. RNAcentral describes it as "bacterial SSU rRNA". It matches the Rfam family "Bacterial small subunit ribosomal RNA", at positions 796 to 1311 of the family's 1533-position model. The record is from RNAcentral.
CACGCCGUAAACGAUGAGUGCUAAGUGUUAGAGGGUUUCCGCCCUUUAGUGCUGCAGCAAACGCAUUAAGCACUCCGCCUGGGGAGUACGGCCGCAAGGCUGAAACUCAAAGGAAUUGACGGGGGCCCGCACAAGCGGUGGAGCAUGUGGUUUAAUUCGAAGCAACGCGAAGAACCUUACCAGGUCUUGACAUCCUUUGCCACUCCUAGAGAUAGGAUUUUCCCCUUCGGGGGACAAAGUGACAGGUGGUGCAUGGUUGUCGUCAGCUCGUGUCGUGAGAUGUUGGGUUAAGUCCCGCAACGAGCGCAACCCUUGUUCUUAGUUGCCAGCAUUUAGUUGGGCACUCUAAGGAGACUGCCGGUGACAAACCGGAGGAAGGUGGGGAUGACGUCAAAUCAUCAUGCCCCUUAUGACCUGGGCUACACACGUGCUACAAUGGAUGGUACAAAGGGUCGCGAAACCGCGAGGUCGAGCCAAUCCCAUAAAACCAUUCUCAGUUCGGAUUGUAGGCUGCAAC